GCCGGAAUAGCUCAGUCGGUAGAGCAGAGGACUGAAAAUCCU
Molecule: transfer RNA, 42 nt
Filed under: Orthothecium remotifolium
Lineage: Eukaryota; Viridiplantae; Streptophyta; Bryopsida; Hypnales; Plagiotheciaceae
Description: Orthothecium sp. JK-2020b partial tRNA-Phe
Rfam family: tRNA
About the family: Transfer RNA (tRNA) molecules are approximately 80 nucleotides in length. Their secondary structure includes four short double-helical elements and three loops (D, anti-codon, and T loops).
Source: RNAcentral